UCACAGGCACUUUUUGGUGUCACCCACAUUUAAAAAAAAAAAAAA
Molecule: non-coding RNA, 45 nt
Organism: Poecilia formosa (Amazon molly)
Lineage: Eukaryota; Metazoa; Chordata; Actinopteri; Cyprinodontiformes; Poeciliidae
Source: Rfam